AAAAACAAGAACCCUAGGUGGGAAAAUUGAAGAAAAAGUGUGGGAUUUCAAGGGAUUAAGCUAAUAAAGGUAAAAUUUCUUGAUUUUGACUUUUGAUUUACACUACCCAUGCAUUUCUCCUUAUUUUUCAUGGUUAGAUUUCAUGUUUUCAUGGUGAAUUCAUGGCUGGUCAAAAUGGGUAUUGAGAGAUAAAGAUGUUAGAUUGAUUUGAUUUUAAGUUAUGUUAGUGUUUUUAGUUAGUUUAGCAUAUUUAGAAACAAAACAAUAAGAAAAAAAUUCAUUUUCCCCCAUCACCAUCAAUGACCGAAUUUUCUAGGGAGGAUAUUGUGGCUGAAAUUGAUGAUAUUUCAUGAUAUUUUGGUGAUAUUUGAUGUUUGGUGAGGCUAGAAAUUAAAUGGGAAAUUUUGGUGUGAAAAUCUGAAUUUUUACCUAAUGUAUAGACAUAUGUGAUUAUUAACCCGGGACUGAUAAAUUGAAUCUCAUUCGCAGUCACUGAGGCAAUUUAGGUAUAAUUGGAGUGUAGAAAGUGAAAAAAAAUUGAUUUGGAGUUAAAUUUGAGGUUUUAGCCAAUUACACCAAGAAUAGUGCGAAUUAAGUCGAAUACCGUAUUUAAACGGCUAUUCGGACAUUUUGCAUCACAUUUCGUGCAUUCAUAUAGAUUUUAUAGAGCCUGAAAUAGUUUAUGAUAAAUUGACACAAUUUAUUGAAAUUCGUGACACGUAUGAUAUAUGGGUGGUGAGCCCUCUAACAAGGGUAAAUAGAUUGUGUCCGAAGACCGGGAAUAGGAGUAUAUCGAACUCCUAGUACUAUGAGUAACCUUAUUAUCAUUUUAAUUAUCUAAAGUAUGUUUUAACUCGGUUUUGGUGAAAUUUUAUGAAAAUGAGUUAAAUGGAAAAUUUUAGGUUUUAUAAACAAAAAUGUGUUUAAAUGAAAAGAUUUUAUAAAUUGUCUUGAAACGAAAAAACGAUUUUGAAAAUAGAGUAAUUGGAGACCACCAGUAUGUUGUAAAUUUAUGAUUAGAAAUUGAUGGCUUAUGUUAUAUUGUUAUUGUGUCGGCAUGACUGGCUGGGCUGUGUUUUAUGAAUUGUAUGAACUGUUUUAUUUUACCCUUACAGGCUAUGUAGUAAUAUAGUAGCCCUGUCAUGCUGUCAAAAUUUUAUUGUAUGGUGGGUUUAGCUUACUGCAGUAGGCGGGUUUUCGUGGACUAGCCUAUUAGAGGGGCAUUGUAAACCCCGUUAUAUUUUACCUCGGUUGGAGAGGCGAGUAAGGCAACUCUCGAGGUAUGAUUUUAGAGUUCACUUCACGCCAAACCACCACGUGAAGGUGAGCUCGGCCAACGCUAAGGAACGGCUAUAUUUUCAAAAUGAAAACAUGUUUUAUGCGUACAUGACUUUCUAAUAGCCUUGAUGAACUCAGUUGGGAUAGCCCUCGGCCAAGGUAUCCUAGAUAACUAAGUAUGAUAAUAAUUUUUGGCAUGAGCCAAGCUUUUUAAGAAAUUCAUAAGCCAUACUGAUUCUUGAUUUAAAUAAAUUGAUUUCAUUUGGUUGAAAUAAGUUGAAAGAUGAUAAAUUACAGUUUGAUGAAAUAUUUUAAUAGUCUCAUUUUACUUGCCUUUAGAUAUUUUGAAUAAUGUUUGUUUACUCACUGGGAUUUUAUAAUCUCACCACCCUCCUUUCCACCCAUUUCAGGCAUCAGGAUAGUCGGUAAAUAGCUCAUUUCAUCGAGAACUACAAUUGGAUUGGCAUCCUCAAAAUAUGUGGUUCAAUUCUUUUGACACUUUUAGUCGUUCGUGGGCCCACGUGUCACUGCAAAUUUCAUUUUAUACUUUGGUUAUCUAUAGUACAAUAUAUAUGAAUUUAUUUUGCUUUUUCGCUGUAAAAAUUAUUUAUGCAGUGUUCUAAAAAUAUUAGUUUAUGAAAAAUUGAAUAUUUUAUUCUAUAUCUUUAUUAUAUUUAAAUAGUUAUAAUUUCAUUUUAAAUGAAAGUUUUAGAUGUUUAAAUUUAUUUUUGAUUAUGAAUUAUGUGUUUUAUACUUUCAUACUACAUUUUUAACUAGUUUCGAAACUUUUGAGAAAAAAAUGACCAAAAUGCCCCUGUGAGACAGAAAUCAUUUUUUUAUUGAUUUCAGUUGGAAAUAGCUUAAAUUCUUUUAGAACAUGAUAUUUGGUAACGGUUGCUCACCGAGGAAAAGAGAAACUGAUAUUAAAGCCUUGCGGGAUUCCGGUUGACAAUCUGGGUAAUGAGUGUCGAUCGGGACAACGCAGCGGUUGUCUCGGGCUCGAUGGGAGUUCCGGGUCAUGACAUCGAGACUUAAAUCAACUUAAUUGUACCAUUAGGUACAAUAUCGUCUUUUAACGAUUUCGGAGGCAUUCAAGUAUGCAGACAUUUUAUCAAGUACCUAUACAAUAUGGCAAAUAUAUUAAAGAGUUGGGGUUGAAAAUAAAUGUCGUUUGUCAAUACCUCCUAAGGUAAUAGCAUACAUAACAACAUGUAAACAAUAAUCUUUACAUAUUAAUACCUUCCACAUAGUUCAUUAUUUUUUGUCAUAUAUAUGGUUACACAAUCCAACUUUCAAGGAAAAUAAUAUUAACUAUCAUACCACUAGUUACAACAUCCCAAGAUUCUUAAUGUAUCACACACCGC
Molecule: long non-coding RNA, 2642 nt
Filed under: Theobroma cacao (cacao)
Lineage: Eukaryota; Viridiplantae; Streptophyta; Magnoliopsida; Malvales; Malvaceae
Description: long non-coding RNA (TCAC_LNC006021)
Source: RNAcentral